RNAcentral lists this ribosomal RNA (253 nucleotides) under uncultured bacterium. Its description in RNAcentral is "partial 16S ribosomal RNA". It matches the Rfam family "Bacterial small subunit ribosomal RNA", at positions 524 to 776 of the family's 1533-position model. The record is from RNAcentral.
UACGUAGGUGGCAAGCGUUGUCCGGAUUUACUGGGCGUAAAGGGCGUGCAGGCGGUCUGUUAAGUGCAGGGUGAAAGCUCCCGGCUCAACUGGGAGAGGUCCUUGCAUACUGGCGGACUUGAGGGGGGUAGAGGAAAGUGGAAUUCCAGGUGUAGCGGUGAAAUGCGUAGAUAUCUGGAGGAACACCGGUGGCGAAGGCGGCAUCCUGGACCAAUUCUGACGCUGAGGAGCGAAAGCUAGGGGAGCAAACGGG